ACGGGUGUAGCUCAAUUGGCAGAGCACCGGAUUCCAAAUCCGGCGGUUGGGGGUUCAAGUCCCUCCACCCGUG
RNAcentral lists this transfer RNA (73 nucleotides) under Planctomycetaceae bacterium. RNAcentral's name for it is "tRNA-Trp". It matches the Rfam family "tRNA". Rfam says of the family: Transfer RNA (tRNA) molecules are approximately 80 nucleotides in length. The record is from RNAcentral. Lineage: Bacteria; Pseudomonadati; Planctomycetota; Planctomycetia; Planctomycetales; Planctomycetaceae. RNAcentral also lists the same sequence under 1 other name.